RNAcentral lists this ribosomal RNA (554 nucleotides) under uncultured bacterium. Its description in RNAcentral is "partial 16S ribosomal RNA". It matches the Rfam family "Bacterial small subunit ribosomal RNA", at positions 355 to 902 of the family's 1533-position model. The record is from RNAcentral.
UGGGGAAUUUUGGACAAUGGGCGAAAGCCUGAUCCAGCAAUGCCGCGUGUGUGAAGAAGGCCUUCGGGUUGUAAAGCACUUUUGUCCGGAAAGAAAUCCUUGGCUCUAAUACAGUCGGGGGAUGACGGUACCGGAAGAAUAAGCACCGGCUAACUACGUGCCAGCAGCCGCGGUAAUACGUAGGGUGCAAGCGUUAAUCGGAAUUACUGGGCGUAAAGCGUGCGCAGGCGGUUUGCUAAGACCGAUGUGAAAUCCCCGGGCUCAACCUGGGAACUGCAUUGGUGACUGGCAGGCUAGAGUAUGGCAGAGGGGGGUAGAAUUCCACGUGUAGCAGUGAAAUGCGUAGAGAUGUGGAGGAAUACCGAUGGUGAAGGCAGCCCCCUGGGCCAAUACUGACGCUCAUGCACGAAAGCGUGGGGAGCAAACAGGAUUAGAUACCCUGGUAGUCCACGCCCUAAACGAUGUCAACUAGUUGUUGGGGAUUCAUUUCCUUAGUAACGUAGCUAACGCGUGAAGUUGACCGCCUGGGGAGUACGGUCGCAAGAUUAAAACUC